This 215-nucleotide ribosomal RNA is filed under the name uncultured bacterium. RNAcentral describes it as "partial 16S ribosomal RNA". It matches the Rfam family "Bacterial small subunit ribosomal RNA", at positions 1286 to 1500 of the family's 1533-position model. The record is from RNAcentral.
UCCCAGUUCGGAUUGUAGUCUGCAACCCGACUACAUGAAGCUGGAAUCGCUAGUAAUCGCGAAUCAGAAUGUCGCGGUGAAUAUGUUCCCGGGUCUUGUACACACCGCCCGUCACACCAUGGGAGUUGGAAAUGCCCGAAGUCAGUGACCCAACCGCAAGGAGGGAGCUGCCGAAGGCAGGUCCGGUAACUGGGGUGAAGUCGUAACAAGGUAUC